GUCGACAAUACUUCAGAGAAUCAUUUCUAUAGUAUUCGACCUACUCUUGGUUCCCUAAAGGAGCUACAGAUCCCACCCUGGUUGAUGAUUGAUAUCCUCGACACCCUAGAGUGAAGUUUACUCUGGUUGCUCUCGCACUUUCCGCAAGGAAAGCGGUUCCUUCCCUCGGGAGGGAACUGUAUAGAGGGCGGUGAUGAUCUCGUCCCCGUUUGCGGUCUUGCCCUUGGGCGCGCGGACGGGGUGGGUGUCGAUGGACGUCUGACAGGC
RNAcentral lists this small nucleolar RNA (267 nucleotides) under Colletotrichum orchidophilum. RNAcentral describes it as "Fungal small nucleolar RNA U3". It matches the Rfam family "Fungal small nucleolar RNA U3". Rfam says of the family: Small nucleolar RNAs (snoRNAs) are involved in the processing and modification of rRNA in the nucleolus. Lineage: Eukaryota; Fungi; Ascomycota; Sordariomycetes; Glomerellales; Glomerellaceae. The record is from Rfam by way of RNAcentral.